ACGCUCGACACCUACGGGAGGCGGCAGUAGGGAAUCUUCCACAAUGGGCGCAAGCCUGAUGGAGCAACACCGCGUGAGUGAAGAAGGGUUUCGGCUCGUAAAGCUCUGUUGUUGGAGAAGAACGUGCGUGAGAGUAACUGUUCACGCAGUGACGGUAUCCAACCAGAAAGUCACGGCUAACUACGUACCAGCAGCCGCGGUAAUCUGAGCGGGCUGGCAAGGC
Molecule: ribosomal RNA, 223 nt
Filed under: uncultured bacterium
Lineage: Bacteria
Description: partial 16S ribosomal RNA
Rfam family: Bacterial small subunit ribosomal RNA
Source: RNAcentral